RNAcentral lists this ribosomal RNA (401 nucleotides) under uncultured bacterium. Its description in RNAcentral is "bacterial SSU rRNA". It matches the Rfam family "Bacterial small subunit ribosomal RNA", at positions 355 to 773 of the family's 1533-position model. The record is from RNAcentral.
UGGGGAAUAUUGGACAAUGGGCGAAAGCCUGAUCCAGCCAUGCCGCGUGAGUGAUGAAGGCCUUAGGGUUGUAAAGCUCUUUCGCUCGCGAAGAUAAUGACGGUAGCGAGAGAAGAAGCCCCGGCUAACUUCGUGCCAGCAGCCGCGGUAAUACGAAGGGGGCUAGCGUUGUUCGGAAUCACUGGGCGUAAAGCGUACGUAGGCGGAUCGUUAAGUCAGGGGUGAAAGCCUGGAGCUCAACUCCAGAACUGCCUUUGAUACUGGCGAUCUUGAGACCGGGAGAGGUGAGUGGAACUGCUAGUGUAGAGGUGAAAUUCGUAGAUAUUAGCAAGAACACCAGUGGCGAAGGCGGCUCACUGGCCCGGUACUGACGCUGAGGUACGAAAGCGUGGGGAGCAAAC